RNAcentral lists this ribosomal RNA (464 nucleotides) under uncultured bacterium. RNAcentral describes it as "partial 16S ribosomal RNA". It matches the Rfam family "Bacterial small subunit ribosomal RNA", at positions 339 to 795 of the family's 1533-position model. The record is from RNAcentral.
CCACGGGUGGCUCCAGUGGGGAAUAUUGCACAAUGGGCGCAAGCCUGAUGCAGCCAUGCCGCGUGUAUGAAGAAGGCCUUCGGGUUGUAAAGUACUUUCAGCGGGGAGGAAGGGAGUAAAGUUAAUACCUUUGCUCAUUGACGUUACCCGCAGAAGAAGCACCGGCUAACUCCGUGCCAGCAGCCGCGGUAAUACGGAGGGUGCAAGCGGUAAUCGGAAUUACUGGGCGUAAAGCGCACGCAGGCGGUUUGUUAAGUCAGAUGUGAAAUCCCCGGGCUCAACCUGGGAACUGCAUCUGAUACUGGCAAGCUUGAGUCUCGUAGAGGGGGGUAGAAUUCCAGGUGUAGCGGUGACAUGCGUAGAGAUCUGGAGGAAUACCGGUGGCGAAGGCGGCCCCCUGGACGAAGACUGACGCUCAGGUGCGAAAGCGUGGGGAGCAAACAGGAUUAGAUACCCGAGUAGUC